GACGAACGCUGGCGGCGUGCUUAACACAUGCAAGUCGAACGGAAAGGCCCUGCUUUUGUUGGUCGUGUGGUGGCCGAGUGGUUAACAACUCAGUAAUCACCCGCCCUUUUCUUUGGGAUUACUUCAAGCAACUGGGGAUAAUACCGGGUAAUAGCUGCUGCUUGAUGGGGGGGGGUGGGAAUGUUCGGCGGUUGGGGGAGGACUCGCGGCUUAUCAGGUUGUUGGUGGGGUAGUGGCUUACCAAGGCUUUGAGGGGUCGCCGGCCUGGGGGGGUGACCGGCAAAAUUGGGACUGGGAAACGGCCCAGACUCCAACGGGAGGCAGCAGUGGGGAAUAUUGCACAAUGGGCGGAAGCCUGAUGCAGCAACGCCGCGUGCGGGAUGACGGCCUUCGGGUUGUAAACCGCUUUCGCCUGUGACGAAGCGUGAGUGACGGUAAUGGGUAAAGAAGCACCGGCUAACUACGUG
This 467-nucleotide ribosomal RNA is filed under the name uncultured bacterium. RNAcentral describes it as "partial 16S ribosomal RNA". It matches the Rfam family "Bacterial small subunit ribosomal RNA", at positions 28 to 507 of the family's 1533-position model. The record is from RNAcentral.